UCAAAUAAUAAUGAAUUCGGUGGAAUUGUUGCUAGACAGUUCCUUGAAGGGGAAGUUUGGUGAAAAGCCAACGCGGUCCCGCCACUGUAAAUGGGAGUUUGCUGGAUUAAAUACUGCUUAAUUGGGUGCCAGUGAAUGAUGAUCAUAAGCCAGGAUACCUGCCGUAUUCGUGCACCAAAA
RNAcentral lists this non-coding RNA (180 nucleotides) under Heyndrickxia ginsengihumi. Lineage: Bacteria; Bacillati; Bacillota; Bacilli; Caryophanales; Bacillaceae. The record is from RNAcentral.